UACUGCACUUUACGACUAGCUGGAGGGGAUGGGCAAGCCAGCUCCUGCGCGGGGGAGACCCGGUUCCGGCUCAACUUGUGGUACCCCGCAGGCUGCUAGGGUGGGGAGGCGAAAGGUCACUUGGCCCGGGGAAGUACGUCCAGUGCCCCUCGCGUGCCCUUUGGGGAAGGACGAGUCGGGCCCACGAUGCCCUUAGCCAGUGGCUUAAACAUCUCCAUCCUGGGACUGGGUGCUUCCUGAAGGUGGUUACUCCAAUGAAGCUUUCGGAUAUGCACGGAAAGAAUGUGGUGCUCAUCAUACUGGCACAGCCAAGAGAUAUGGGUGUAAAUGGCUCUUGGAGAAGACACCAAAGACAGUGAGGAUCUUUGGAUCACCACAGAAUUGUAGCUCAGUGCCUAUGGCUUUGCAAACACUACACGGUCCUAUGUGAAGUCCUGUGGACGGCUUGGAGUAGAGUAUAUAGGUGUUUGAUCCAACGUUAGAAGAUUGCAUUUCAUGAGAACCAAGACAACAUCUCUAGCUGUCUGGGCCAGCAGUGUGCGUCACACCACAGAGAGCCUGCCCAGCCACUUGUUUCCGGUUCCUGUUUUUGUCUGAAAAAUGACAAAUUUUGGAAUUAAAAAUUAGUUGUAAAGACCCCAAAUGUGAUUCUUUGUAACCAAAUGAAAUGAGUCCGAGAGAGCUGAAGACACUGCCCAGGCCAAAUGACUAAGUGCAGAGCCAGACUUCCAACCCAAGUGCUGCCUUCCCAGCCAAGCUUCUCUUCUCUCCCUGCAGUGUAGAACCAUGGGCUGCUUUGCGAGGAGAGCAUGGAACUGCCCUGAGAUCAACACUUGGUCCUCUUCUAUCAACAAUUACCAAAUACGGCUAAUGAUUACAUAUUCUGGGGACCCAAAUGUCCAUCAACAAGACCAAUGGAUAAACAAAAUGUGGUAUAUCCACACAGUGGAAUAUCAUUUGGCCACAAAGAGGAAUGAAGUAGUAAUACAUGCUACAACUUGGAUGGACCUUGAAAACAUUACGUUAAGGGAAAGAAGGCAGUCGCAAGGGAUCACUAUUGUAUGAUCCCAUUCAUAUGAAAGUCCAGAAGAGGGAAAUCGGUACAGUCUGAUCUGGUUUCUUAGAGCUGAAGGUGGGGAUGGGAGCAUAGUAGCUAAAGAGUAGGGGUUUCCUUUGAGGUGGUAAAAGAGAUCUAAGAUAGACAGUGAUUCACAUAUCUGUGAAUACACUAAAAACCAUUGCAUUCUGUUCUUUAAGUGGGUAGAUUGUAUGCUAUGCAAACUAUAUCUUAAUAAAGCUUUUUUUAAAAAAUCCUCUGGGAAACGAAAAUAAAUUCUGAUUCCUGGCUUGUGCCUCAUCCCACCUCUGUCUCAACCCCCACCUCUCAGAUUCAAAUUCAGUAAAUCUGGGUUGGUUUUCUGGAAAUUUGUAUUUUGUCAAAUGUACCUUGAGUGAUUCCGGUGAAAAUCUAUGUUUGAAUAUAUCACUGACUUGGACAGGGGUUACAUCCGCCAAGAGGUAACCCAGAACUGGGCCAAACUCAGAUUAUAAUCCACAAUUUCAGGGUAGAUCUGUCUCUUUAUAACUGACAUGAUUUUCAGGGUGGCUGGUAGAAUACCAGCUGGCUCAGAGCAGGCUAAGUUACUGAAGACCAAAUCCCACGAAGUUGGCUUGGGCACUUUUUGUCCAAGAGUAAAGUAACAUCCCAUGAAAUCUGCAAGAAUGUUAUUUUACCAAAAAGUCUUGAGAUUCCUGUACAGCGUUUGUUAUACAACUUUGGUGAUCCUCUUUUCUUCAUUAUAAAUAAAUUCCAAAAUUUCUUCUUCAGUUGCUUUCUUUUUUUAACAUAGUAAAUUUGGUAACAGAGUACUCUCUUUCUGAGAGGUGGAGGUGAUGAGUGAAAGAAUUUAUUUAAUAUAGAGAAAACCUAUUAAUCCCAGGAGAGGGAAGUAUAAUAAGAAAGACGUAGUGGACAAAAGUUGUGUUUGAAAUUUUAAUGACAGGUUAGCUAAACGACCAGAAAAUAUAUUUAAAGAAUUGACACUAAACUGGAAGGGGAUGAAAUAAAUGAGCUUCUAACUAAUGUUUAACCAUAUUCCAUGAUUAUAAACAUUUAACCAGGUGCAUUUCUGGGGAUUUUUCUAUUCAUAUUGGGCCUCUGAAAAGAAGACCACAUUUUAUUCUAAAAUUACAAAUGCAUUUCAAUUUCUUUAGAAUAUGAUAUGCUUUUGCUAACUAAACAGCAUUACCUCUUAGUAGAGGUCCAAUGCUAUAAUUUGACCCCUCUGGCAAAUUAAAUACAAUUAUGCAAACUACUAGGAUUUGGGCAUAAUCUAAUUAACACGGUACAUAUUAAGCAGAUAGUCAUUUCCCUGGUUGAAAAUUAGAUUGUCUCAUUUCGUGUUUGAACCAUGUUUUAGAAAAGCAUUUUACUAUGUAAGCAAGACUUUGUUAUCUUAUGUGUUCUAUUUGCUCAGCUCCACAAUGGACAUGUUUAGAAAAAUAAAGCCAAAAUUGAAAUCUUUAA
Non-coding RNA from Equus caballus (horse), 2527 nucleotides. NCBI's taxonomy places the organism in Eukaryota, Metazoa, Chordata, Mammalia, Perissodactyla, Equidae. The record is from RefSeq and is a predicted model, not a curated record.